AUUGAACGCUGGCGGCAUGCCUAACACAUGCAAGUCGAACGGCAGCAUGUCUAGCUUGCUAGACUGAUGGCGAGUGGCGGACGGGUGAGUAACGCGUAGGAAUAUACCUUAAAGAGGGGGACAACUUGGGGAAACUCAAGCUAAUACCGCAUAAUUUCCUUGGAAAAAAGCUGGGGACCGCAAGGCCUGGCGCUUUAAGAAUAGCCUGCGUCCGAUUAGCUAGUUGGUAGGGUAAAGGCCUACCAAGGCGACGAUCGGUAGCUGGGCUGAGAGGAUGACCAGCAUCACUGGAGCUGAGAGACGGUCCAGACUCCUACGGGAGGCAGCAGUGGGGAAUAUUGGACAAUGGGGGCAACCCUGAUCCAGCGAUGCCGCGUGUGUGAAGAAGGCCUGAGGGUUGUAAAGCACUUUCAGUGGGGAGGAGAUAGAUUUGGUUAAGAGCUGAGUUUAGAGACGUUACCCACUGAAGAAGCACCGGCUAACUCCGUGCCAGCCGCCGCCGUAA
RNAcentral lists this ribosomal RNA (505 nucleotides) under uncultured bacterium. RNAcentral describes it as "partial 16S ribosomal RNA". It matches the Rfam family "Bacterial small subunit ribosomal RNA", at positions 30 to 523 of the family's 1533-position model. The record is from RNAcentral.